UGCCAGCAGCCGCGGUAAUACGUAGGAUCCAAGCGUUGUCCGGAUUUACUGGGUAUAAAGGGUGCGUAGGCGGUCUUGUGCGUCAGAGGUGAAAUAUCCGGGCUUAACCCGGAGGGUGCCUUUGAUACGGCAGGACUUGAGUACGAGAGAGGAUGAUGGAAUUCCUGGUGUAGCGGUGAAAUGCGUAGAUAUCAGGAGGAACACCGGUGGCGAAGGCGGUCAUCUGGCUCGUAACUGACGCUGAGGCACGAAAGCGUGGGGAUCAAACAGGAUUAGAUACCCUGGUAGUCCACGCCCUAAACGAUGUAUGCUUGGUGUUGGGUCCGCAAGGACUCAGUGCCGUAGGAAAUCUGAUAAGCAUACCACCUGGGGAGUACGAUCGCAAGGUUGAAACUCAAAGGAAUUGACGGGGGCCCGCACA
Molecule: ribosomal RNA, 421 nt
Filed under: uncultured bacterium
Lineage: Bacteria
Description: bacterial SSU rRNA
Rfam family: Bacterial small subunit ribosomal RNA
Source: RNAcentral